This 1458-nucleotide long non-coding RNA is filed under the name Mus musculus (house mouse). RNAcentral describes it as "long non-coding RNA chr7:50387360-50388818". The record is from RNAcentral. Lineage: Eukaryota; Metazoa; Chordata; Mammalia; Rodentia; Muridae.
UUGUCUCCUGUGUGAUUCUGGAUCCUGUUGCCAGUCAAUAUUAGCCACCACAGAGCUUUCUCAUUUAGCCUAGUUUUUAGUAUUACAUAUCUAAAAUGAUGCUUUUAAUGGCAUCUCAAAAGGUACUGCCUAUGUGCUAUAUCCUUCUGUAAUGCUUAGUCCUUUGUUUUCCCUAGAGUAUCUAGAAUGGCUAAGAACGCUCAAAUACCAUUGUAGGGUUCUCAUUAAGCUUUCACUGCUAAGCCUAACUUCUCAGCCUCUUCUUUUGAAAUUCUAACCCCAUAGACUUUGGACCCCACAGAGAAGUGUAUCACAGGGCUGUAGAUUGUGAAUCCUUGCUCCUUUGACAGAUAAGGGAAUGGCAGCUUCACUGCUCCAGUUGACAUUCUUCUGCUUACCGACCUGCCAAUCGUUUCCCCUGCUCCUCCCUCACACUUGCAUCUGUUUUGUGAGUUGCAAAUUCCUAUACGGUGUGCAACUUUACAUUGUAUUUUGCACAGUUCAGUUGAUAAAUGGUCUAAUUUAUUUCUAUAUGUUUUUAUUGUUUCUUUCGAAAUGGAGCUCUCAUGUAGCCCUGACUGGUUUCAAGCAUAGUAUGUUCCUAAGGCUGGCCUUGAACUUUUAAUCCUCCUGCCUCACCUCCCGAGUGCAGGGAUUACACAAUGCCUGGCUUAACCUUUAAGUGUGUAUGAGUCAGUAUGUGUGCAAUUAUCUGCCAAACGCAUAAUUUGCCUUUUAUUUUGCUUAUGGCAUUUCUGGUCUGAUAGGUAUUUUUGAUUGAAAUCAAACCAGAUAUUCUUCCUCAUUCUGGUAAUGGCACAUGAGGACAGACUUGCUUGUCCAGCCUAUGAGAGUCUCCAGAUUUACUGUCUAAAACUACAGAAAUAGGAAAAAAGAAUGAUGCUUCUGACUGUGCAUUAUGAUGAGAAAAAUAUUCCUCUCCAGUGAACCAUUUCAGUUUCUUUAUUAUUUUGCAGUUUAACUUUAAACAAUUAAUUGUUCAUUUGAGUAUUAACUUGCCUUGGGGUACUGUAGGAGAGCCUGGCAUUAUUGUUUUGUUUUGUUUUUUUCCCUUCAGAUAGUUGAUAAAAUGUACUGGAACUCUUCUUUAAAUAAUCCUAGCUUUAUUGCUAAUUUAAAAUGUUCUUUUUCAUUAUGAACCAAAUUAUGAGUACUGAGGUCAGAAUUUUAAUUUUUUUCAGCUUUAGUGUUUCUACUAUCAGGCUGUGCAGGGUCUCAGCUUGAAUUUCCCUUUAUUCUCUUACUUCCCUUUCCUUCCUUUUCAUUUCAAAAUUGUUUUAGUCACUCUCAUUUUUCAGGGGAUGUUUCAAGCAGUUCUAUAAAAUUUUCAAGUCAUAUUUUAUUAGAAUUAGAUAGUAUUUCUGAAUAAAUUUAAGGCUGGUAUCUUAGUUAGAGUUUCAAUUGCUAUGAAGAGAUACCAUGACCAAGGCAACUCUU